CCUACGGGAGGCUGCAGUAGGGAAUCUUCCACAAUGGACGAAAGCCUGAUGGAGCAACGCCGCGUGGGUGAAGAAGGGCUUCGGCUCGUAAAGCUCUGUUGGUAGAGAAGAAAGAUAGUGGUAGUAACUGUCCUCGAUUUGACGGUAAUUACUUAGAAAGUCACGGCUAACUACGUGCCAGCAGCCGCGGUAAUACGUAGGUGGCAAGCGUUGUCCGGAUUUAUUGGGCGUAAGGCGAGUGCAGGCGGUUCAAUAAGUCUGAUGUGAAAGCCUUCGGCUUAACCGGAGAAUUGCAUCAGAAACUGGUGAACUUGAGUGCAGAAGAGGAGAGUGGAACUCCAUGUGUAGCGGUGGAAUGCGUAGAUAUAUGGAAGAACACCAGUGGCGAAGGCGGCUCUCUGGUCUGCAACUGACGCUGAGGUUCGAAAGCAUGGGUAGCGAACAGGAUUAGAUACCCGGGUAGUC
RNAcentral lists this ribosomal RNA (465 nucleotides) under uncultured bacterium. RNAcentral describes it as "partial 16S ribosomal RNA". It matches the Rfam family "Bacterial small subunit ribosomal RNA", at positions 338 to 795 of the family's 1533-position model. The record is from RNAcentral.